RNAcentral lists this transfer RNA (63 nucleotides) under Ixodes scapularis (black-legged tick). It matches the Rfam family "tRNA", at positions 5 to 66 of the family's 71-position model. Rfam says of the family: Transfer RNA (tRNA) molecules are approximately 80 nucleotides in length. Their secondary structure includes four short double-helical elements and three loops (D, anti-codon, and T loops). Lineage: Eukaryota; Metazoa; Arthropoda; Arachnida; Ixodida; Ixodidae. The record is from Rfam by way of RNAcentral.
GGUUAGCUCAGUUGGUAAGCGCUCCUCCUGUAAUGGAGAGGUCCCGGGUUCGAUACCCGGACC